Long non-coding RNA from Stegostoma tigrinum, 196 nucleotides. RefSeq lists it as uncharacterized. The transcript has 3 exons. The record is from RefSeq and is a predicted model, not a curated record. NCBI's taxonomy places the organism in Eukaryota, Metazoa, Chordata, Chondrichthyes, Orectolobiformes, Stegostomatidae.
GAAGAAUCAGCUACAACAACAGGGACAGGCACCACAGCUGAGACGACUGCCAUUUCCACAGCUGUAAGAACAUCAACAAGAACAACAACAGCGCCUACAACUACACCUGGCUCCACCAGUACCUCAACAACAGAAGAAACCACUUCAACAACAGUAUCUGCCACUACAGCACCGUCUACUUCCAGUUCCAUAACUG